Molecule: long non-coding RNA, 4803 nt
Organism: Myxocyprinus asiaticus (Chinese sucker)
Lineage: Eukaryota; Metazoa; Chordata; Actinopteri; Cypriniformes; Catostomidae
Exons: 4
Source: RefSeq, a predicted model, not a curated record
UGCACAAAAAACAAUCAUAGUUGUAAGACAUGAAUUUUUUUUUUUUUUUUUUUUUUUUUUUUUAAUACCCUUUUUCUGACCCUGUAUCAGAAACUCUGUUUUAGUGCUGCUUCUCCUUUAAGACUUGACAGUAAACACCCACUGUUAUGACUGGCUCUUGACUGACCUGCUCUUUCCUUGCCAUCUCACUGCUCGGCCCAUUGUACAAAGGUGCCUCAGUUUGUUCCUGACAGGCAGCAGAUGCCCUAACCCUGCCCCACCACCCUACUCCUAACCAUAUGGAGCCUGUAAGGCUGAGUAGCCUACCAGGAAAUUGGAUGGCACAUUUCACACCUACUGAGCGGGGCUACUGAAGUGAUAAGGUAAAGUAGGCACUGAUGUGUUGUUGUGGGGGCGGUCAGGUGCAAAUAUAUACCACAGUGUGACAUCACAGUGUGACAUCACAAUGCGGAGGAAGUAGACAACGAGUCAUUUUGGCAGCUUAGUUUCAACAAAUUCUCUUUUUGCAGUGAGGAAUUUUUGAGUUCUGAAAUUUACAGUAUGUUUUUAUAGCACAAUGACCUCAUAUGUUAAAAGAUCAAGGAAAAUGGGAUUCCUCAUGUCAUGACCCCUUUAAAUGAUAUCUUCAUUUGUGUCAUUGGUGUGAUUUAUUUGGUGUGGGUUCCUUUGAAAUUAUCUUAUUUAUUUGUCAGGGACACUACACAUUAAUCAAACAUCUCACUGAUGUAAAUGUGCCGGAUUUAACCAAAAAGGUUCAAUUUUGUGGCUAAUUUUCAUCUGCUGUCUCUGGGCACAGAUGAAAUAUGUUGUAUAUGUUGAGUCAUUUGAUAAUUCUAGGUUUUCAGUAUGGAAAUUCAAAUAAUUAGUAAGAAGAAAUGAACAGUUUGUCAUCACAACACAAGUGCCACUGUACACAGUUCUACAACUGUAUUCAGACACAGUUCGGUCUUAAUUAGUUGUCUUGGAACACCAGAGGCACUUGAUUAUUCGUGGAUGUUAAUUUGUGUUCAUGAUUCUGCUCAUUUCAAUUUGUGUUAAAAUUCAUUUUUGUUAAAGAGGAGACAGCUGUACUCAACCACCACAAUGUUUAUUUUAACAUAAUUACAUUAAACUGAUUCACAUGACACAAGAAAGAAGGUUUUCUAUUCCUCAGACUAUAUAAAUAGAGACCACAUGUUCUGUGGGCAAGGGGCAUGUGAGCAGUUAGUGCUUUAAAUGUUCUGACAUGUAUAUUUUAGGGCUCUUUGGUUUGCAUAAUAGCAGCCACUCUCACAUCUCACUCAAAAAUAAAAAAAAAAAAUGAUUUUUGGAGGAUGUUCACUUUUAAACAAUUAAUUUAGAUUUAACACCAUUGUACCAGGUUUCUUGUUCAAACACAGUUGUACAGUAAGACAAAAUACACGUUAAAAAUACAUACUCUGAAAAACCUAAAUAUCUUACGCAGUGUUGUUUCUAAAACGAGAUGAAUAUAAUUGAUCUUGUUUAAAGGAUUUUUAGAUAUUUUUACAGGAAAACAAUACAGAAAUUAUCAAGAAUACGAUUUUUGCCCUAAUAUCAAAGGUCUUACUAGAUAAAAAGAAAUUAUAAUCUAACGUGAAUUUUCUUGAUAAAAAAAUAUGAUCGUGCCUGGUAACGUGCAUGUAAAAUGGCUAGAAACAGCAUUUUAUCUUAGCGUAAAGCUGACAAUUUACACAAGGUUUAUUUCUAUUUCUUGUACUCCAAACUUACUUCAAACUUACUUCUCUGUCUGCUCGUAUGAAUGUAACACAUCAUAUGAAAGUGUUUCACCGUUGUUCAAAUGCACUUUGGAUCGCAUCAUUUAUAUGUAUAAAUGUUUUCCAUCUGAAAGGACUAAAUAUUAAAUGAAACAAAUGACAAUAAAAUGCAAAGUAAUCUCUUCAGUAAUCAAAAUACUUUUGAAUGUAACUGUAUUCUAAUUACCAAUGAUUUAAAUUGUAACUGUAGUGGAAUACAGUUACUUAUAUUUUGUAUUUUAAAUACGUAAUCCCGUUACAUGUAUUCCGUUACUCCCCAACCCUGCUUACCUUAACUAAAACGCUAUGGGUGAGUGACAUGAGAAGGUGGUCAGAGGUGUCGUACGAGAUAUUUUUAAUGACUUUAAGUUGUCUCUUGGAGUUUCAUGAGAACAGAGGCACAUCAGUACGUCCACAGCUUGAAGGUAGGAUCUUGUGUAUUUAUGAAUGAAGUACUCAUGUUUUAAAAUCUCCCAGCUCUGCUUCCAGUUGUUAUGAUAUCCCCUUAACACUUUAAAAUACUCAUGAUGGCUUUUGACUACUCUAUAACCUGUAAAUCCACUUUGCUAGCUAAUUACACUAAUUGACAACACCAUAGAUAUCUAUAUAGAACAGUUAGAAUGGAAGUUCCGAGACAAAAUAUUCAAGAUGGCUGUGCGCUUGUUUCUCUGGCGCAUAAGGUGAAAAUUAGUAACUGUUGUCAUCCGCCAUAGCUUGUACACAAAACAUAUUCCACAUUAUGCACAAUUUGUAUUGCACAUAUUGCACAGCUCUUCACAGGAGCACUGACUGGAUUUUUAAAUGUACUUUAAAAUUGCAACUUGUUCUUUAUCUCUAUUUUAUGUUUUAGGAAUGUGCUGAAUUUGAGAGCAUAGCAACUGUACCUCUAGUGUCAAAAUUCAAGUUAGUAGAACACACUCCAAAACUUUUGAAGAUCUUUGCGAAGCUAGGGGGAGUUAAGUGAUUAAGGAUCAGGGAAUUUCUUGGGCCAGUUUCUCAGGUGUGAUAACUGCACUCAUUACCAUAAAUCAGGGGUGGGUAACUAUUUUGGUAAAGGGGCCACAUCGGGCUUUAAGUUGUGCAUGGGGGCCACAUUGUAUUCCUUUUAAGAUACAAUGUUCCGCAUUGAUUUUUUAAAAAAUAAUUUUAUCUUUUAAGCCCAGAAAUUGUUCUGAAUGUGCUCAAAAUAGAAAUAGAAGUGUGCUCAAUUUUCUGAAAUGUAUAUGUGACUAAUGGGACUAUUCUGCAGUUGCCUAAAGUAUUGUAUUGCUCUACAAAGCUAGAUACUUUUCUAUCAGGCAUUUAAAAACUGAAUAAAAGCUGAGCUUAUUAUAAAUUAUUUAUUUGACCAUCUCUACUUCCCUGUUAAUUUAUUAUUCAAUUUAACAUUCUCUACAUCAGAGGUCUAUUUUAAUAAUAAUAAUAAUAAUAAAACAUCUAAAAUUAUAGAUCUUAUAAUGUUUGUUGCAAAGCGGGCUAGUUUACUUAUUUUAUUCUCAAAACAUUACCCGUUUACACGUUAAAUGUGUCAUGAUGCGGGUCUUGUCAAUGGUUUGACUUUCCAUUCAGCACACAACUGAAUAAAACAGGCUGCAUGACUAUGAUUAAUGGUUACUGCAAGAGUUUAACAUACAGGUGCGAGGGGACUUCAGCAUUUCUAAAUUGCACAAAUAAAAAAUACAUACACAUAUUCGUCUCUUGCUUGCUUUUGCUCACUUGUCAAUGAUGCCAAGAUUGGAUUGAUAAGUUUGUACUCGCGUGCAUGGUUGCCAGAUUGCACAAAAUAAGUAUAACAUUAGGUAGAAUAUUUCCAAUUUGCGCAAGUAUAAAUCUCAAAUUGGGAUUAUCUGGCUGAGUAUGUUAAAAACUUGUGGAGGUGUGUUAGGUCCCAAUGCAAGAUAACUGAAAUAGACAAAGGGGAAAAAAUAGCGCUUUUAGGAUAAAUGAGCCGUGGGCCACAUUAAACCAUGUGGAGGGCCGGAUCUGGCCCGCGGGCCAUAAAUUGCUCUGGUCUGCUAUAAAUGCUCCACUUCAGAAGACAUGAAUUAAUCCACUGGAGUCCUAUAGAUUACUUUUAUGAUGGCUUUAUGUGCUUUUUGGAGCUUCAAAAACUUGGCACCCAUUUACCUGCAUUUUACGGACCUACAGAGCUGAGAUAUUCUUCUAAAAAUCUUAAUUUCUGUUCUGCAGAAGAAAGCAAGUCAAACACAUAUGGGAUGGCAUGAGGGUGAGUACAUUAUGAGAGAAUUUUCAUUUUUGGGUGAACUAUUUCUUUAAAAUGUAUUUUGUUAUAGGUGCAUGUUGAAAAUGGUCAUGUUCUUAUCCUCAGUGUGACUACAUUGAUGUUAAGAGGGAGUGUAUCAUCAAAGCCCUGUUUGUCUAGCAAAAUGAGGAUCCUGAGUACAUGAAUGAACAUUUUGCCAGCCCUCAGACUGCUUUUGAAGAAACAUCCUUGGGAGUUAUGUCACCAGAUUGACACUGCUGUAGGACCUUUUUGCAACUGAUUGCUCUUGCCCUGGCUAGAGGUAUCUAUCAGUCCCAGACUGACACGACACCAUGCAGUAGCAAUGAGGAAGAGUAACCUCAAGCAAAAUGCCACAGAGCUUUAGCUGUGAUGUUCUAUUCCAUUGUUUGUGUGUGUGUGUAUAUAUAUAUAAAAUGUGUAGAAAAAAAGGGAGAAAAAUACUGGCACACUGCUGACAUUCCAAUUUAAUGAAAUUGUAUCGACCCGAACAGAACCUGAUGAAGACCCAUUCAGACAUUGUCAUUAAACUGUUAAAGUAUUUUUCUCCCUUUUUUCUAUGGAUAUUAAUUUGUAGAUGUACACAUGAAUGUAUUAGAUGUGUGUAAACUAUCCUUAAGUGUAUUUUUUAUAUAAAAUUGUUCCUAAAUGUUGUUUCGUAGUAACAUAAAUUACAAUUUAAAACCUAGAUUAUCGCACUUUUUUCCCCAUAAAGACGUACCACAUUCCUUAGUUGUACAAUGAAAUUAUGUAAAAGACACUUGAGUUUCACAUGUUGUAUAUGUGCAUAUAAAAUUAAAUGCCUCU